UUAUUUGAGAGUUUGAUCCUGGCUCAGGAUGAACGCUGGCGGCGUGCCUAACACAUGCAAGUUGAGCGAUUUACUUCGGUAAAGAGCGGCAGACGGGUGAGUAACGCGUGGGUAACCUACCCUGUACACACGGAUAACAUACCGAAAGGUAUGCUAAUACGGGAUAAUAUAUUUGAGAGGCAUCUCUUGAAUAUCAAAGGUGAGCCAGUACAGGAUGG
This 218-nucleotide ribosomal RNA is filed under the name Clostridioides difficile. Its description in RNAcentral is "partial 16S ribosomal RNA". It matches the Rfam family "Bacterial small subunit ribosomal RNA", at positions 1 to 228 of the family's 1533-position model. Lineage: Bacteria; Bacillati; Bacillota; Clostridia; Peptostreptococcales; Peptostreptococcaceae. The record is from RNAcentral.